UACGGAGGAGGCAAGCGUUAUCCGGAAUUAUUGGGCGUAAAGCGUCCGCAGGUGGCACUUCAAGUCUGCUGUCAAAGACCGGGGCUUAACCCCAGAAAGGCAGUGGAAACUGAAGUGCUAGAGUGCAUUAGGGGUAGAGGGAAUUCCCGGUGUAGCGGUGAAAUGCGUAGAGAUCGGGAAGAACAUCGGUGGCGAAAGCGCUCUGCUGGACUGCAACUGACACUCAGGGACGAAAGCUAGGGGAGCGAAAUGGG
Molecule: ribosomal RNA, 254 nt
Filed under: uncultured bacterium
Lineage: Bacteria
Description: partial 16S ribosomal RNA
Rfam family: Bacterial small subunit ribosomal RNA
Source: RNAcentral